UCUUUACAAGCGCCUUUCUUACAGCCUCUUCCCCCCCCCGUUUUUCGCCGCCUCUUUGGUGGGCGCGGCCAGACUCUGGCUGACAGCGGCUGAAGGCGGGCUGUACCACUUCCCCUACACAGGGGUUAUUUGUGUCGGUUGUGGCGGCCGGGACCAAAGUGUAAAUCGGGGAUGUGAGAAAAAGACAUGACAGCCCCGGCUCCCCCAGCUCCUGCCACCGGGGCUGCCUGGGAUACGACGGCGGCAGAGCUAUGACGUCACCGACCUGCAGCUGGGAGGUAUGACACCAUCUGCGGUCCAGAACAGGCUGUCUGGUUCGCACAGGGCUCAACUCUUGGAAUUCUUUAAAAAUUAUAGCCUUGCUGACACGUGGAGAGAAUGUAAUGGUAAUUGAAUUUGCUAUGGCAUGUAAGAUCCUAAGAAUACAUAAAUGUCAUUGUGUCACGGGCAGAGGGGUUUGUGAAUAUAGUAGGACAAAACCAGAUAUAGG
Molecule: long non-coding RNA, 490 nt
Organism: Nanorana parkeri
Lineage: Eukaryota; Metazoa; Chordata; Amphibia; Anura; Dicroglossidae
Exons: 3
Source: RefSeq, a predicted model, not a curated record